Molecule: ribosomal RNA, 512 nt
Filed under: uncultured bacterium
Lineage: Bacteria
Description: bacterial SSU rRNA
Rfam family: Bacterial small subunit ribosomal RNA
Source: RNAcentral
ACGCCGCGUGAGGGGAUGAAGUCUCUAGGGAUGUAAACCUCUGUUGGGAGGGACGAAGAUCUGACGGUACCUCCUGAGGAAGCCCCGGCUAACUACGUGCCAGCAGCCGCGGUAAUACGUAGGGGGCAAGCGUUAUCCGGAUUUACUGGGCGUAAAGAGCGCGUAGGCGGUUCCGUAAGUUGGUUGUGAAAGUUCGAGGCUCAACCUCGAAACUGCGUCCAAUACUGCGGGGCUGGAGUGCAAGAGAGGCAANUGGAAUUUGCGGUGUANUAGUGAAAUGCGUAGAUAUCGCAAGGAACACCAGUGGCGAAGGCGGCUUGCUAGCUUGUAACUGACGCUGANGCGCGAAAACUAAGGGACGAACGGGAUUAGAUACCCCGGUAGNCCUAGCCCUAAACAAUGUUCCUAGGGUGUUGGUGGUAUUGAACUCCAUCAGUGCCCAGCUAACGAAUUANGUGACCGCCUGGGGAGUACGGCCGCAAGGUUGAANUCAANGGAAUUGACGGGGGCCC